UGAACGGUUUUCUAGGGUUCCGUAGCUUUAAGCUGGUCUGGUCCGAGAGAAAACACACAGUUCAACUGUGACACGGAGGGACAAAAGCCCGGGAGAU
This 97-nucleotide small RNA is filed under the name Pontibacillus marinus. Its description in RNAcentral is "Guanidine-I sequence". It matches the Rfam family "Guanidine-I riboswitch aptamer". Rfam says of the family: This family represents a conserved RNA structure found upstream of the ykkC and yxkD genes in Bacillus subtilis and related genes in other bacteria. The function of this family is unclear although it has been suggested that it may function to switch on efflux pumps and detoxification systems in response to harmful environmental molecules. Lineage: Bacteria; Bacillati; Bacillota; Bacilli; Caryophanales; Bacillaceae. RNAcentral also lists the same sequence under 1 other name. The record is from RNAcentral.